UGACACCCAGGCAGGCGUGCCCUCGGCCUAAUGGCUUCGGGCGCAACUUGCGUUCAAAGACUCGAUGGUUCACGGGAUUCUGCAAUUCACACCAAGUAUCGCAUUUCGCUGCGUUCUUCAUCGAUGCCACACAGACUAUAC
RNAcentral lists this ribosomal RNA (141 nucleotides) under uncultured fungus. RNAcentral describes it as "sequence contains ITS1". The record is from RNAcentral. Lineage: Eukaryota; Fungi.